AGAGCGCGGUUUGCAUCUUUGCAGGCUGUAGGCGCAUGAUGUCACAAGUUAUUGGAAGAAAUCCCUCCAACCUAGGUUGGGACAGAUGAAGGCGGCGCUUAUUGGUGUUCACCAAAACACCAGCAUGGUGUACCAGCUUUGGCUAGAUGAUGCUCAGGAAAACACAGAUCCUGGUGCCGAACAUGAGGACAGGGCAGGCCGAAGGAGAAAGUGGAAGGAGGGGAGCUUCUCUCUCAGCCUCAUCCUUCUGGGCCUGGAUGCUGGAGAGUCAUGAGGUGCUUCAGAGUACUCUGGGUGAGGAGGGAAAGAUGGUGCCCACCACAUGGAGGCCAGCCUAGGUCUUGUAUGAAACCUGUGAGCUAGCUGAAAGCAGAGAACCCAGCAGAGGAUUCUGGGAAGGUCCUGGGGGAUGGCAGAGCCAGCAGAGAGAGGGUAUGGAUCCACCAGGCAUAGGAUGGAACAGAGCACUAUUGACCACAGUGAACUGGGGCAUGGGCAAUCAAUAAACACAUAUUAGAUUAAGCUAU
Long non-coding RNA from Homo sapiens (human), 527 nucleotides. Ensembl annotates it as ZBED3 antisense RNA 1. Its record names the gene ZBED3-AS1. The record is from Ensembl. NCBI's taxonomy places the organism in Eukaryota, Metazoa, Chordata, Mammalia, Primates, Hominidae.